Molecule: transfer RNA, 88 nt
Filed under: Chloroflexota bacterium
Lineage: Bacteria; Bacillati; Chloroflexota
Description: Chloroflexi bacterium (groundwater metagenome) tRNA-Ser
Rfam family: tRNA
About the family: Transfer RNA (tRNA) molecules are approximately 80 nucleotides in length. Their secondary structure includes four short double-helical elements and three loops (D, anti-codon, and T loops).
Source: RNAcentral
GGAAGAAAGGCGAAUGCUGGUUCGUCGCGACCGUUUCGAAAACGGUUCUCGUUAAACGCGAGCGCGGGUUCGAUUCCUGCUUCUUCCG